RNAcentral lists this ribosomal RNA (253 nucleotides) under uncultured bacterium. Its description in RNAcentral is "partial 16S ribosomal RNA". It matches the Rfam family "Bacterial small subunit ribosomal RNA", at positions 524 to 776 of the family's 1533-position model. The record is from RNAcentral.
UACGAAGGGGGCUAGCGUUGUUCGGAAUUACUGGGCGUAAAGCGUAUGCAGGCGGACUUUUAAGUCGGGGGUGAAAUCCCGAGGCUCAACCUCGGAACUGCCUUCGAUACUGGAAGUCUUGAGUCCGGGAGAGGUGAGUGGAACUCCGAGUGUAGAGGUGAAAUUCGUAGAUAUUCGGAAGAACACCAGUGGCGAAGGCGGCUCACUGGCCCGGUACUGACGCUGAGAUACGAAAGCCAGGGUAGCGAACGGG